Molecule: ribosomal RNA, 111 nt
Filed under: Candidatus Moraniibacteriota bacterium
Lineage: Bacteria; Candidatus Moraniibacteriota
Source: RNAcentral
UCUGGUGACUCGUGCGGUUGGGAAACACCUCUUCCCAUCUCGAACAGAGCCGUUAAGCCAACCAGCGCCGAUGGUACCCGUUAAUUCAGGGAGAGUAGGUCGUCGCCAGAA